Molecule: long non-coding RNA, 261 nt
Filed under: Elaeis guineensis (African oil palm)
Lineage: Eukaryota; Viridiplantae; Streptophyta; Magnoliopsida; Arecales; Arecaceae
Description: long non-coding RNA (EGUI_LNC076440)
Source: RNAcentral
AUCUGUUGUCCCCACACUGGAUCGGUUGUUCCCAAGCCCCCAUUUCUGAGCCUCCUUCUUCGAUGCUGCUGGCAGCCUUUCGAAGUUGACAUCCCGCCACCCCGACCUCCCCCUUCUUCUUGACCUCACCUCUUCUUUCCCCACCAUCAUGCCUCACCGGAUCAGCCUUCCCCUCGCCAGAUCGGUCGUGGCCCGCCUCCCCCUUCUUCCCCAGCCACACCACCGAUGCGUCGCAUGCAUCAUCGGAUCUAUGCCCCAGUC